GACGAACGCUGGCGGCGUGCUUAACACAUGCAAGUCGAACGGAAAGGCCCUGCUUGCAGGGUACUCGAGUGGCGAACGGGUGAGUAACACGUGGGUGAUCUGCCCUGCACUUCGGGAUAAGCCUGGGAAACUGGGUCUAAUACCGGAUAGGAGCCAUUUUGAGUGUGAUGGUUGGAAAGUUUUUUCGGUGCAGGAUGAGCUCGCGACCUAUCAGCUUGUUGGUGGGGUAAUGGGCUACCAAGGCGGCGACGGGUAGCCGGACUGCAGGGGUGGACGGCCACAUUGAGACUGAGAGACGGCCCAGACACCGACGGGUGGCAGCAGUGGGGAAGAUUGCACGAGGGGCGCAAGCCGGAUGCAGAGACGCCGCGUGGGGGAUGACGGCCUUCGGGUUGUAAACUCCAUUCGCUAGGGACGAAGCUUUUUGUGACGGUACCUAGACAAGAAGCACCGGCUAACUACGUG
Molecule: ribosomal RNA, 465 nt
Filed under: uncultured bacterium
Lineage: Bacteria
Description: partial 16S ribosomal RNA
Rfam family: Bacterial small subunit ribosomal RNA
Source: RNAcentral